GUGUAAACUGGAAAAGCUGACGUUAAACUGCAUCAGUAUUACAGAUGAAGGUUGUGCUGCUCUGGCAUCAGCGUUUAAUUCAAACCUCAGAGAGCUGGAUCUGAGCAGGAAUCAAAUAGGAGACUCUGGAGUGACAGAAAUCUCCAGUCUGCUGAGAAAUUCACAGACUCUACAGAUACUCAGACUUUCAGACUGCAGUAUCAGUGAAGAAGGUUAUAAAGCUCUGUCUUCAGCUCUGAGAUC
Cyprinus carpio (common carp) is the source of this 243-nucleotide long non-coding RNA. RefSeq lists it as uncharacterized. Lineage: Eukaryota; Metazoa; Chordata; Actinopteri; Cypriniformes; Cyprinidae. The transcript is spliced from 3 exons. The record is from RefSeq and is a predicted model, not a curated record.